CCUACGGGAGGCAGCAGUGGGGAAUUUUCCGCAAUGGGCGAAAGCCUGACGGAGCAAUACCGCGUGAGGGAAGACUGCCUAUGGGUUGUAAACCUCUUUUUUCAGGGAGGAAUAAAUUGACGUGUACCUGAAGAAUAAGCAUCGGCUAACUCCGUGCCAGCAGCCGCGGUAAGACGGAGGAUGCAAGUGUUAUCCGGAAUUACUGGGCGUAAAGCGUCUGUAGGUUGUUUAAUAAGUCAACUGUUAAAUCUUGAGGCUUAACUUCAAAACAGCAGUCGAAACUAUUAGACUAGAGUAUAGUAGGGGUAAAGGGAAUUUCCAGUGGAGCGGUGAAAUGCGUAGAUAUUGGAAAGAACACCGAUGGCGAAAGCACUUUACUGGGCUAUUACUGACACUCAGAGACGAAAGCUAGGGUAGCAAAUGGGAUUAGAUACCCCAGUAGUCCUAGCUGUAAACAAUGGAUACUAGAUGUUGAACAGAUCGACCUGUGCAGUAUUAAAGCUAACGCGUUAAGUAUCCCGCCUGGGAAGUAUGCUCGCAAGAGUGAAACUCAAAGGAAUGACGG
RNAcentral lists this ribosomal RNA (565 nucleotides) under uncultured bacterium. RNAcentral describes it as "bacterial SSU rRNA". It matches the Rfam family "Bacterial small subunit ribosomal RNA", at positions 338 to 916 of the family's 1533-position model. The record is from RNAcentral.